GAGGGUAUAGCUCAGUGGUAGAGCGCAUGCUUAGCAUGCACAAGGUCCUGGGUUCAAUCUCCAGUACCUCCA
Molecule: transfer RNA, 72 nt
Filed under: Camelus bactrianus (Bactrian camel)
Lineage: Eukaryota; Metazoa; Chordata; Mammalia; Artiodactyla; Camelidae
Also listed under: 2 other names
Rfam family: tRNA
About the family: Transfer RNA (tRNA) molecules are approximately 80 nucleotides in length. Their secondary structure includes four short double-helical elements and three loops (D, anti-codon, and T loops).
Source: Rfam by way of RNAcentral